Molecule: ribosomal RNA, 261 nt
Filed under: uncultured archaeon
Lineage: Archaea
Description: partial 16S ribosomal RNA
Rfam family: Archaeal small subunit ribosomal RNA
Source: RNAcentral
UAGGCGUAAAUGAUGCGAGUUAAGUGUGGGGCAUCUACGAGAUGGCCCUGUGCUGUAGGGUAGCCGUUAAACUCGCUGCCUGGGAGUACGGUCGCAAGGCCUGAAACUUAAAGGAAUUGGCCGGGGGGAGCACCACAAGAGGUGGAGGCUGCGGUUCAAUUGGACUCAACGCCGGAAACUCAUCGGGAGCGACAGCAGUAUGAUUGCCAGGUUGAUGACCUUGCUUGACAAGCUGAGAGGUGGUGCAUGGCGUAGUCGUGU